Molecule: small nuclear RNA, 103 nt
Filed under: Jaculus jaculus (lesser Egyptian jerboa)
Lineage: Eukaryota; Metazoa; Chordata; Mammalia; Rodentia; Dipodidae
Source: RNAcentral
GAGCUCGCUUCGGCGGCGCACACACUACGAUUGGAAGGACACAGAGAUUAGCAUGGCCCAUGUGCAAAGAUACACACAAAUUCAUGAAGUGCUUCACAUUUUU